RNAcentral lists this ribosomal RNA (540 nucleotides) under uncultured bacterium. RNAcentral's name for it is "bacterial SSU rRNA". It matches the Rfam family "Bacterial small subunit ribosomal RNA", at positions 356 to 896 of the family's 1533-position model. The record is from RNAcentral.
GAGGAAUAUUGGUCAAUGGGCGCGAGCCUGAACCAGCCAAGUCGCGUGAAGGAUGACUGUCUUAUGGAUUGUAAACUUCUUUUAUACGGGAAUAACAAGAGUCACGUGUGGCUCCCUGCAUGUACCGUAUGAAUAAGCAUCGGCUAACUCCGUGCCAGCAGCCGCGGUAAUACGGAGGAUGCGAGCGUUAUCCGGAUUUAUUGGGUUUAAAGGGUGCGUAGGCGGCCUGUUAAGUCAGCGGUGAAAUCUAGGAGCUUAACUCCUAAAUUGCCAUUGAUACUGGCGGGCUUGAGUGUAGAUGAGGUAGGCGGAAUGCGUGGUGUAGCGGUGGAAUGCAUAGAUAUCACGCAGAACUCCGAUUGCGAAGGCAGCUUACUAAGGUACAACUGACGCUGAAGCACGAAAGCGUGGGUAUCAAACAGGAUUAGAUACCCUGGUAGUCCACGCAGUAAACGAUGAUAACUGGGCGUAUGCGAUAUACAGUAUGCUCCUAAGCGAAAGCGUUAAGUUAUCCACCUGGGGAGUACGCCGGCAACGGUG